This 303-nucleotide ribosomal RNA is filed under the name uncultured bacterium. RNAcentral's name for it is "partial 16S ribosomal RNA". It matches the Rfam family "Bacterial small subunit ribosomal RNA", at positions 507 to 808 of the family's 1533-position model. The record is from RNAcentral.
AGCAGUAGCCGCGGUAAUACGUAGGUCCCGAGCGUUGUCCGGAUUUAUUGGGCGUAAAGCGAGCGCAGGCGGUUAGAUAAGUCUGAAGUUAAAGGCUGUGGCUUAACCAUAGUACGCUUUGGAAACUGUUUAACUUGAGUGCAAGAGGGGAGAGUGGAAUUCCAUGUGUAGCGGUGAAAUGCGUGGAUAUAUGGAGGAACACCGGUGGCGAAAGCGGCUCUCUGGCUUGUAACUGACGCUGAGGCUCGAAAGCGUGGGGAGCAAACAGGAUUAGAUACCCCUGUAGUCCCUGUCUCUUAUACA